Long non-coding RNA from Saccostrea echinata, 277 nucleotides. RefSeq lists it as uncharacterized. The transcript is spliced from 4 exons. The record is from RefSeq and is a predicted model, not a curated record. Lineage: Eukaryota; Metazoa; Mollusca; Bivalvia; Ostreida; Ostreidae.
AUUGACUGCACUAAGAAGGCUAGUACUCGGAAACACAAGGCCAUUCACAAAUAUCCACGAGGCCAUACCCGGCUGGGAUGACUUGGGGGUAAGAGAACGCUCUCUCAUUGAACGUCAAACAGAGAGAGACAGAAUAUGGGCGUUAUCUGAGUAUCGAGCACGUCAUGGUGUUCGAUGUCCGACAGCAUUUGAGUUUGCAAGAUUCUUGGAUGAUAUCGAAGAAAAAUUACGUCAACGUAUCAAGCUUCUGGAGGACCAAGUCCAGUUACUGCGCCUG